Molecule: long non-coding RNA, 279 nt
Filed under: Musa acuminata (dwarf banana)
Lineage: Eukaryota; Viridiplantae; Streptophyta; Magnoliopsida; Zingiberales; Musaceae
Description: long non-coding RNA (MACU_LNC010948)
Source: RNAcentral
CAUAAGAAAGGUAGUCAACUUGGAGUCUUGUGAAGUGCCUGUUUUCGGGCUACAAAUGCACUAGAAGGAUUGUUUCUUAGUGUAGAAAUAGGGAAUUCCAUUUUCUUAGUUUAUCCUGCCUUAACCGAUGAAAAAGAAGCCCUCUUGCCUUCACCGAGUGGAGUAGUGGUCGGUUCGGUAAGACCUAUGCUUUGGUUGGUAACUACACUUCCUAUUACUUCCAUACUACUACACCACUUCCACUUAUACUCCGACCGAACUUCCCUUUCGAAACAUCAU